RNAcentral lists this ribosomal RNA (329 nucleotides) under uncultured eukaryote. RNAcentral's name for it is "partial 18S ribosomal RNA". It matches the Rfam family "Eukaryotic small subunit ribosomal RNA", at positions 1470 to 1796 of the family's 1831-position model. The record is from RNAcentral.
CCCUUAGAUGUUCUGGGCCGCACGCGCGCUACACUGACGAUGGCAACGAGUUUUUCCUUCGCCGAAAGGUGUGGGUAAUCUUUUGAAACAUCGUCGUGCUGGGGAUAGAUCAUUGCAAUUUUUGAUCCUGAACGAGGAAUUCCUAGUAAGCGCGAGUCAUCAGCUCGCGUUGAUCACGUCCCUGCCCUUUGUACACACCGCCCGUCGCUACUACCGAUUGAAUGGUUUAGUGAGGACUCCUGAUUGGCGCCGCCGCCCCGGCAACGGAGCAGCGGACUGCCGAAAAGUUGUUCAAACUUGAUCAUUUAGAGGAAGUAAAAGUCGUAACA